Molecule: ribosomal RNA, 496 nt
Filed under: uncultured bacterium
Lineage: Bacteria
Description: bacterial SSU rRNA
Rfam family: Bacterial small subunit ribosomal RNA
Source: RNAcentral
GGCUCAGGAUGAACGCUAGCUACAGGCUUAACACAUGCAAGUCGAGGGGCAGCAUGAACUUAGCUUGCUAAGUUUGAUGGCGACCGGCGCACGGGUGAGUAACACGUAUCCAACCUGCCGAUGACUCGGGGAUAGCCUUUCGAAAGAAAGAUUAAUACCCGAUGGCAUAGUUCUUCCGCAUGGUAGAACUAUUAAAGAAUUUCGGUCAUCGAUGGGGAUGCGUUCCAUUAGGUUGUUGGCGGGGUAACGGCCCACCAAGCCUUCGAUGGAUAGGGGUUCUGAGAGGAAGGUCCCCCACAUUGGAACUGAGACACGGUCCAAACUCCUACGGGAGGCAGCAGUGAGGAAUAUUGGUCAAUGGACGAGAGUCUGAACCAGCCAAGUAGCGUGAAGGAUGACUGCCCUAUGGGUUGUAAACUUCUUUUAUACGGGAAUAAAGUGAGGCAUGUGUGCCUUUUUGUAUGUACCGUAUGAAUAAGGAUCGGCUAACUCCGUG